Molecule: ribosomal RNA, 253 nt
Filed under: uncultured prokaryote
Description: partial 16S ribosomal RNA
Rfam family: Bacterial small subunit ribosomal RNA
Source: RNAcentral
UACGUAGGUGGCAAGCGUUGUCCGGAUUUAUUGGGUUUAAAGGGUGCGUAGGCGGUGUCCUAAGUCAGUUGUGAAAUACGGCAGCUUAACUGUCGAGGUGCAAUUGAUACUGGGACACUUGAGUACUGAUGAGGUAAGCGGAAUGGACGGUGUAGCGGUGAAAUGCUUAGAUAUCGUCCAGAACACCGAUAGCGAAGGCAGCUUACUAAGGAGUAACUGACGCUGAGGUGCGAAAGCGUGGGGAGCAAACAGG